AUUGAACGCUGGCGGCAGGCCUAACACAUGCAAGUCGAGCGGACGAAGGGAGCUCGUUCCUGGAUUCAGCUGCGGACGGGCGGGUAAGGCCCAGGAAGCUGCCUUGCAUUUGGGGAUAACGUCCGUUAACGGGCGCUAAUACCGCAUACGUCCUGAGGUUGAAAGUGGGGGAUCUUUGGACCUCACGCUAUCUGAUGAGCCUAGGUCGGAUUGGCUAGUUGGUGGGGUAAAGGCCUACCAGGGCGACGAACCGUAACUGGUCUGAGAGGAUGAUCAGUCACACUGAAACUGGGACACGGUCCAGCCUCCAACGGGAGGCAGAGGAGGGGAAUAUUGGAAAAUGGGCGAAAGCCUGAGCCAGCCAUGCCGGGUGUGUGAAGAAGGUCUUCGGAUUGUAAAGCAUUUUAAGUUGGGAGAAAAGCAGUAAGUUAAUACCUUGCUGUUUUGACGUUACCAACAGAAUAAGCACCGGCUAACUUCGUG
This 483-nucleotide ribosomal RNA is filed under the name uncultured bacterium. RNAcentral describes it as "partial 16S ribosomal RNA". It matches the Rfam family "Bacterial small subunit ribosomal RNA", at positions 30 to 507 of the family's 1533-position model. The record is from RNAcentral.